GCUGACUUAGCUCAGUCGGUAGAGCACUUCCUUGGUAAGGAAGAGGUCAUGGGUUCGAAUCCCGUAGUCAGCUCCA
RNAcentral lists this transfer RNA (76 nucleotides) under Pseudomonadota bacterium. RNAcentral describes it as "Proteobacteria bacterium tRNA-Thr". It matches the Rfam family "tRNA". From Rfam's summary of the family: Transfer RNA (tRNA) molecules are approximately 80 nucleotides in length. Lineage: Bacteria; Pseudomonadati; Pseudomonadota. The record is from RNAcentral.